UAUGAACGCUGGCGGCGUGCUUAACACAUGCAAGUCGAACGGAACUGUUUGAAUGAAGUUUUCGGAUGGAUUUUAAACAGUUUAGUGGCGGACGGGUGAGUAACGCGUGGGUAACCUGCCUCGCACUGGGGGAUAACAGUUAGAAAUAGCUGCUAAUACCGCAUAAGCGCACAGCUCCGCAUGGAGCAGUGUGAAAACUCCGGUGGUGUGAGGUGGACCCGCGUCUGAUUAGCCAGUUGGCGGGGUAACGGCCCCACCAAAGCGACGGAUCAGUAGCCCGGCCUGAGGAGGGUUGAACGGCCACAUUGGGACUGAGACCACGGACCCCAA
RNAcentral lists this ribosomal RNA (330 nucleotides) under uncultured bacterium. RNAcentral's name for it is "bacterial SSU rRNA". It matches the Rfam family "Bacterial small subunit ribosomal RNA", at positions 29 to 334 of the family's 1533-position model. The record is from RNAcentral.